This 435-nucleotide ribosomal RNA is filed under the name uncultured bacterium. RNAcentral describes it as "partial 16S ribosomal RNA". It matches the Rfam family "Bacterial small subunit ribosomal RNA", at positions 29 to 507 of the family's 1533-position model. The record is from RNAcentral.
AGCGAACGCUGGCGGCAGGCUUAACACAUGCAAGUCGAGCGGGCAUCUUCGGAUAUCAGCGGCAGACGGGUGAGUAACACGUGGGAACGUACCCUUCGGUUCGGAACAACUCUGGGAAACUGGAGCUAAUACCGGAUACGCCCUUAUGGGGAAAGGUUUACUGCCGAAGGAUCGGCCCGCGUCUGAUUAGCUAGUUGGUGGGGUAACGGCCUACCAAGGCGACGAUCAGUAGCUGGUCUGAGAGGAUGAUCAGCCACACUGGGACUGAGACACGGCCCAGACUCCUACGGGAGGCAGCAGUGGGGAAUAUUGGACAAUGGGCGCAAGCCUGAUCCAGCCAUGCCGCGUGAGUGAUGAAGGCCUUAGGGUUGUAAAGCUCUUUUGUCCGGGACGAUAAUGACGGUACCGGAAGAAUAAGCCCCGGCUAACUUCGUG